CCUACGGGGAGCAGCAGUAGGGAAUCUUCCACAAUGGGCGAAAGCCUGAUGGAGCAACGCCGCGUGGGUGAAGAAGGUCUUAGGAUCGUUAAACUCUGUUGUUAGAGAAGUAAGUGCGUGAGAGUAACUCUUCACGUUUCGACGGUAUCUAUCCAGAAAGCCACGGCUAACUACGUGCCAGCAGCCGCGGUAAUACGUAGGUGGCAAGCGUUAUCCGGAUUUAUUGGGCGUAAAGGGAACGCAGUCGGUCUUUUAAGUCUGAUGUGAAAGCCUUCGGCUUAACCGGAGUAGUGCAUUGGAUACUGGGAGACUUGAGUGCAGAAGAGGAGAGUGGAACUCGAUGUGUAGCGGUGAAAUGCGUAGAUAUAUGGAAGAACACCAGUGGCGAAAGCAGCUCUCUAAUCUGUAACUGACGCUGAGGUUCGAAAGCGUGGGUAGCAAACAGGAUUAGAUACCCCUGUAGUC
This 465-nucleotide ribosomal RNA is filed under the name uncultured bacterium. RNAcentral describes it as "partial 16S ribosomal RNA". It matches the Rfam family "Bacterial small subunit ribosomal RNA", at positions 338 to 795 of the family's 1533-position model. The record is from RNAcentral.